Molecule: ribosomal RNA, 810 nt
Filed under: Triticum aestivum (bread wheat)
Lineage: Eukaryota; Viridiplantae; Streptophyta; Magnoliopsida; Poales; Poaceae
Description: partial small subunit ribosomal RNA
Source: RNAcentral
AUGGAAGCACUGCCGCCGUGGCCGCAGGCGGCGGCUGCGCCGGAGAUCCACUUUCGUUUCCGAGGAGCACUGACCCUCAGCCUCGAGCUGAAGCCGAGCGACCAGCCGCGCACCAUGCGCCUGCGUGGCGGCCUGGUCUUGUCCCAUGCGCCGCGCAGGGCCGGGCCGGUCGACGUGACCAAUCAAGUCGUCAGGAAGCUCGACCUACAGUUGGAGAUCACCGAUCACGCCGUCUUCCAGUCUGGCAAGGACUUCAGCCAACUCAUCCACGAUAUGCUCGCCGCCGCGGUCAAAAGGGAGUACGACGACCUCCCCGCCAACGCUACGGAUUCAAUCCAUAUGCCCCUUGACCUAGCCACGAUGAUCGUUGAGUCGAUUGGCCGCGGGAUCGACGAGAUCGUCGCCGCCGGGGGCAUCGUCCCUGGCUACGAAUUAGAUCUCGAGCUACCCCAGGCCUGUAUAACCCUGGUCUACGAGCCCAGGGCGCUACUCCUCGCCUGCAAAGAAGCCGCCGCUGCGGAAACCAAGGCUCCCACCGGAGUUGUGGCACUCUGUGGCCGAAAGCGCCGCCGUGAGGCUGAUGACCCGUGCGUCAUCUGUUUAUUGGACUUGGAGAGUGAGGAGGACGACGAGGAGCAGGUCCGGCUGCCGUGCUCCCAUGCCUUUCAUACACCGUGCAUCGAGCUGUGGUUCGACAGGGCGUCCACGUGCCCGACUUGCCGGCUUGACAUUAUGGAGUGCUUUAGCUUUGCCAGAUCAGCGCCUCCAAGGAGUUCAGAUAUCCCCGAGGCGGAGAUAAACCAUUCCUAA